Molecule: long non-coding RNA, 564 nt
Filed under: Olea europaea subsp. europaea
Lineage: Eukaryota; Viridiplantae; Streptophyta; Magnoliopsida; Lamiales; Oleaceae
Source: RNAcentral
UUCCAGAAUCUGUUUAAUCUCUCUGUUAGACACCUCUGCUUGCCCAUUUGACUGUGGAUGAUAACCCAAUGCCAACUUGUGCUUGACAUCAUACUUAGCUAGGAGAGAAUUGAACAGCUUGUUACAAAAAUGUGUACCUCCGUCGCUUACGAUCGCUCUAGGCGUGCCAAACCGAGUGAAGAUGUUUUUCUGUAAAAAUUUCAACACCACUUUUGCAUCAUUUGUUGGUGUGGCAAUGGCUUCAACCCACUUGGACACAUAAUCUACUGCGAGAAGAAUAUACUCUUGACCAAAGGAAGGUGGAAAUGGACCCAUGAAAUCAAUACCCCACACAUCAAAUAAUUCCACCUCAAGCAUACUGGUUAAUGGUAGCUCAUGAUGUCUUGAAAUGUUUCCAGUGCGUUGACAGCGGUCACAUGUUUUCACAAAAGCAUAGCAGUCUUUGAACAAAGUUGGCCAAUAGAAACCAGAUUGCAAUACCUUUGCAGCAGUACGUGUAGGACCGAAAUGACCUCCAUAGGAUGAUGAAUGGCAAUGCUGCAUGAUUGAUCGCGUUUCUUCCAC